GGUGGCUCAGUGGCAGAGCACUUGCCUUGCAUGCAUGAGGCCCUUGGUUCGAUUCCUCAGCACCA
Molecule: transfer RNA, 65 nt
Filed under: Dipodomys ordii (Ord's kangaroo rat)
Lineage: Eukaryota; Metazoa; Chordata; Mammalia; Rodentia; Heteromyidae
Rfam family: tRNA
About the family: Transfer RNA (tRNA) molecules are approximately 80 nucleotides in length. Their secondary structure includes four short double-helical elements and three loops (D, anti-codon, and T loops).
Source: Rfam by way of RNAcentral